AGAUAUUCCGAAGUCUGGAAGCCUUCGGGAAGCUUUUCCCGCAGCGUCUGCUC
Molecule: small RNA, 53 nt
Filed under: Sinorhizobium meliloti 2011
Lineage: Bacteria; Pseudomonadati; Pseudomonadota; Alphaproteobacteria; Hyphomicrobiales; Rhizobiaceae
Description: putative ncRNA
Source: RNAcentral